UAUGUGAUCGUCUCUCGCAUAUCAAUAAGCGGAGGAAAAGAAACUAACAAGGAUUCCCCUAGUAACGGCGAGUGAAGCGGGAAGAGCUCAAAUUUGAAAUCUUAAAGGGUUUCCCUUUACGAAUUGUAGUUUAAAGAAGUGUUUUCUGUUGAGGUUUUGGUAAAAGUUCUUUGGAAUAGGACAUCAUAGAGGGUGAGAAUCCCGUAUUUGACCUUUACUUUCAACUUUGUGAUACACUUUCAAAGAGUCGGAUUGUUUGGGAAUGCAGUCCAAAAUGGGUGGUAAAUUUCAUCUAAAGCUAAAUAUUGGCGAGAGACCGAUAGCGAACAAGUACCGUGAGGGAAAGAUGAAAAGAACUUUGAAAAGAGAGUUAAACAGUACGUGAAAUUGUCAAAAGGGAAGCGUUUGACACCAGUGUUGUUUUUCUGAAAAUCAAUUAAAGAACUGUUUAUGCUAAGUCGUUUAGACUUUAUCAGCUAACUGUUUAGUUUUGAGCUUUUCUUUAAUGCACUUUUCAGUUAACAAGUCAACAUCAAUUUCUUUUGCUGUAAAAAAGCUUGAGGAAGGUGGCUUGAGAUUCGUCUUAAGUGUUUAUAGCCGUCUUGCCUAUGCAGUCGGAGAGAUUGAGGUCUGCAGCGUAGAUCCUUCGGGGCUAAAUGCAUUUGUGCUAAGUUAUAACAUUUUAUAGACAACUUGUUGACUAUGAUUUGUCUUGUAGCUUACUCGCUUAUGUUAUUUUACCUACGCUUAGGAUGUUGAAGUCAUCGUAUCGCGC
RNAcentral lists this ribosomal RNA (775 nucleotides) under uncultured Neocallimastigales. Its description in RNAcentral is "partial large subunit ribosomal RNA". It matches the Rfam family "Eukaryotic large subunit ribosomal RNA", at positions 24 to 645 of the family's 3401-position model. Lineage: Eukaryota; Fungi; Neocallimastigomycota; Neocallimastigomycetes; Neocallimastigales. The record is from RNAcentral.